AGAUGAUGCUGUUAACAAUAGCUGUCAUUUGAGGGCUUUACAGCACUUCCCAGAGUCCUUGCUCUUUUUUAAAGGAGAUGUCCAAUUCUGAUGCAAAAACACAAGGAUGAAGAAUCUACCACAACUUCAUAUUCAGUUAGUGACCGGAACUGGGUUCUACUACCUGUAUGUUGCCUCUUCCUUCCCCAGCUAGACUCAUGCUUUGCUUUGCCAAAGCUUCCAUCUUCUGACUAUACCCCGCAAACCGGUUGCCACUAGCUUGACAGUGUACUUUUC
RNAcentral lists this long non-coding RNA (276 nucleotides) under Struthio camelus australis. RNAcentral describes it as "lncRNA (ENSSCUG00000004222.1)". Lineage: Eukaryota; Metazoa; Chordata; Aves; Struthioniformes; Struthionidae. The record is from RNAcentral.